This 235-nucleotide ribosomal RNA is filed under the name uncultured bacterium. RNAcentral's name for it is "partial 16S ribosomal RNA". It matches the Rfam family "Bacterial small subunit ribosomal RNA", at positions 82 to 334 of the family's 1533-position model. The record is from RNAcentral.
CACCUUCGGGUGAGUGGCGGACGGGUGAGUAACGCGUGGGAACGUGCCCUUUGGUUCGGAACAACACAGGGAAACUUGUGCUAAUACCGAAUGUGCCCUUCGGGGGAAAGAUUUAUCGCCAUUGGAGCGGCCCGCGUUGGAUUAGGUAGUUGGUGAGGUAAAGGCUCACCAAGCCUACGAUCCAUAGCUGGUCUGAGAGGAUGAUCAGCCACACUGGGACUGAGACACGGCCCAG